Molecule: ribosomal RNA, 253 nt
Filed under: uncultured bacterium
Lineage: Bacteria
Description: partial 16S ribosomal RNA
Rfam family: Bacterial small subunit ribosomal RNA
Source: RNAcentral
UACGUAGGGGGCAAGCGUUGUCCGGAUUUACUGGGCGUAAAGGGCGCGUAGGCGGCGGGUCAAGUCGAGUGUGAAAGCCCCGGGCUCAACCUGGGAAUUGCGCUCGAGACUGGUCUGCUUGAGUUCGGGAGAGGAGAGUGGAAUUCCCAGUGUAGAGGUGAAAUUCGUAGAUAUUGGGAAGAACACCGGUGGCGAAGGCGGCUCUCUGGACCGAGACUGACGCUGAGGCGCGAAAGCGUGGGGAGCAAACAGG